Oncorhynchus tshawytscha (Chinook salmon) is the source of this 558-nucleotide long non-coding RNA. NCBI's taxonomy places the organism in Eukaryota, Metazoa, Chordata, Actinopteri, Salmoniformes, Salmonidae. The record is from Ensembl.
GUUGAGUGGUUGGGAGGUGGAGUCUUGGGUUGUUGUGUUGAGUGGUUGGGAGGUGGAGUCUUGGGUUAUUGUAUUGAGUGGUUGGUAGGUGGAGUCUUGUCUUUUGAAUGAGGGAUUGGUAGGUGGAGUCUUGGGUUGCUGUGUUGAGUGGUUGGGAGGUGGAGUCUUGGGUUGUUGUGUUGAGUGGUUGGGAGGUGGAGUCUUGGGUUGCUGUGUUGAGUGGUUGGUAGGUGGAGUCUUGGGUUGUUGUGUUGAGGGUUUGGUAGGUGGAGUCUUGGGUUGCUGUGUUGAGUGGUUGGGAGGUGGAGUCUUGGGUUGUUGUGUUGAGUGGUUGGGAGGUGGAGUCUUGGGUUGUUGUGUUGAGUGGUUGGUAGGUGGAGUCUUGGGUUGUUGUGUUGAGGGUUUGGUAGGUGGAGUCUUGGGUUGUUGUGUUGAGUGGUUGGGAGGUGGAGUUUUGGGUUGUUGUGUUGAGUGGUUGGGAGGUGGAGUCUUGGGUUGUUGUGUUGAGAGAUUGGUAGGUGGAGUCUUGGGUUGUUGUGUUGAGUGGUUGGGAGGUGG